This 72-nucleotide small nucleolar RNA is filed under the name Tursiops truncatus (common bottlenose dolphin). Its description in RNAcentral is "Small nucleolar RNA SNORD112 (ENSTTRG00000024621.1)". The record is from RNAcentral. Lineage: Eukaryota; Metazoa; Chordata; Mammalia; Artiodactyla; Delphinidae.
GAGAUCAAUGAUGAGAAUGUGUCCUUAACUAAAGAUUAUAAUUUAUUUAAUUUCGUGCAUCUGAGUUCCAAU